Long non-coding RNA from Polistes dominula (European paper wasp), 594 nucleotides. The record is from RefSeq and is a predicted model, not a curated record. Lineage: Eukaryota; Metazoa; Arthropoda; Insecta; Hymenoptera; Vespidae.
CGCGCGUGUGCAGUUGACUUUGCAUCGCGCAUGGACCGUUUGUCAUAUAACGACGCUAUUUAGUGUACAGCUACAAUAUUAAGAAAAAAGAGAAAAAGAAGACAAAUCUUAUGUUAAUCAACAAUAUUAAGUGUUAACAAGACUUUGUCGUUGCAUUUGCAUACAAGCGAAAUCAAAGCAAGUUUACAAUGCCAGCAAAACGUAAAAGAACCAAUUAAUGUACUAAUGAUCCAGAUGUACCAAUUGAAUUCAAACGCGUUCAAUUUCCAAUUAAAUUGGCAUUCGCAGUGACAAUCAAUAAGUCGCAAGGUCAAAAAAUGUCUGUUUGUGGCUUAGAUUUAAGUAAACCGUGAUUUUUACAUGGACAAUUAUACGUGGCAUCUUCUCGCGUAGGUAAACUAUCCAGUUUGUGUUGGCUAAAGAUGGACUAACCAAAAAUAUCGUACACUCCAUUGAACUAACAGAUUGAUAAUGUUUUUUUUGUGUUCUUAUGAUUAGUGAUUAUGAUAUUAUUAUGAUAUGUAAAUAUAAAAUAGAUUAAUUGAUGUUAUUAAGUACAAUGAAUUAAAGAAAUGGAUGUUUUGUGUUUUGUUA